RNAcentral lists this ribosomal RNA (802 nucleotides) under uncultured fungus. Its description in RNAcentral is "eukaryotic LSU rRNA". It matches the Rfam family "Eukaryotic large subunit ribosomal RNA", at positions 157 to 821 of the family's 3401-position model. Lineage: Eukaryota; Fungi. The record is from RNAcentral.
AGCGUUUUCGGUGGCAGCCUGGGUAUAAAUCCUUUGGAAUAGGGUAUCAUAGAGGGUGAGAAUCCCGUCUUUGACUCAGUGCAUGCUACUAUGUGAUACGUUUUCAAAGAGUCGAGUUGUUUGGGAAUGCAGCUCAAAAUGGGUGGUAAAUUUCAUCUAAAGCUAAAUAUUGGCGAGAGACCGAUAGCGAACAAGUACCGUGAGGGAAAGAUGAAAAGAACUUUGAAAAGAGAGUUAAACAGUGCGUGAAAUUGUUGAAAGGGAAACGUUUGACACCAGUUAUGCGGGUGGAAAAUCAGUCUUUUGCAAUGGGGAGUUGUGGGCGUUCAGACCGCAAGGCUGGCGUUUGCUUCAUCUUUGUUGUAAGUGAUGCACUUUUUCAUUUGCAGGUCAACAUCAGUUUGCUUUGCUGGACAAAACUCCAAGGGAAGGUGGCAGCUUAGGCUGUGUUAUAGCCCUGGGGCGAUACAGUGGAGUGGACUGAGGUUUCGCAGUGUGUGCUCUCGGGCAAGGCUGACUGGGUGCUAUGGGAUCGUUCGGCGUACAAUGCAUGCAUUUUGCGUCGUGUCUUUUUCAUACUCGCUCAACUCGGCUCUUCCACACUUAGGAUGUUGACUUAAUGGUUUUAAACGACCCGUCUUGAAACACGGACCAAGGAGUCUAACAUAUAUGCAAGUGUUUGGGUGGCAAACCCAUGCGCGUAAUGAAAGUGAACGUAGGUGCGAUCCGCAAGGUGCAGCAUCGACCGAUCUUGAUAUUUUUGGAUAGAUUUGAGUAAGAGCAUAUAUGCUGGGACCCGAAA